This 407-nucleotide ribosomal RNA is filed under the name uncultured eukaryote. RNAcentral's name for it is "bacterial SSU rRNA". It matches the Rfam family "Eukaryotic small subunit ribosomal RNA", at positions 592 to 1018 of the family's 1831-position model. The record is from RNAcentral.
CAAUAGCGUAUAUUAAAGUUGUUGCAGUUAAAAGCUCGUAGUUGAAUUUCUAGGCAGUAGCUACUCGGAUUUCAAUUCAGUAUCUGCUGUCUAUCCGACACUGAACUAUGACGGGUAUUAAGUUAUCCCCAUAGCGAAUUGUCAUUUUACUUUGAAAAAUUAGAGUGUUUCAGGCAGGCAAUUGCCCGGAUAUCUUAGCAUGGAAUAAUGGAAUAGGACUUUGGUUCAUUUGAUUGGUUAUUGAAUCAAAGUAAUGAUUAAUAGGGACAGUUGGGGGCAUUAGUAUUUAAUUGUCAGAGGUGAAAUUCUUGGAUUUAUUAAAGACUAACUUAUGCGAAAGCAUUUGCCACGGAUGUUUUCAUUAAUCAAGAACGAAAGUUAGGGGAUCAAAGACGAUCAGAUACCAU